CAGAGGGUGCAAGCGUUAAUCGGAAUUACUGGGCGUAAAGCGCGACGUAGGUGGUUCGUUAAGUUGGAUGUGAAAUCCCCGGGCUCAACCUGGGAACUGCAUUCAAAACUGUCGAGCUAGAGUAUGGUAGAGGGUGGUGGAAUUUCCUGUGUAGCGGUGAAAUGCGUAGAUAUAGGAAGGAACACCAGUGGCGAAGGCGACCACCUGGACUGAUACUGACACUGAGGUGCGAAAGCGUGGGGAGCAAACAGGAUU
This 255-nucleotide ribosomal RNA is filed under the name uncultured bacterium. Its description in RNAcentral is "partial 16S ribosomal RNA". It matches the Rfam family "Bacterial small subunit ribosomal RNA", at positions 526 to 779 of the family's 1533-position model. The record is from RNAcentral.